Molecule: ribosomal RNA, 550 nt
Filed under: uncultured bacterium
Lineage: Bacteria
Description: bacterial SSU rRNA
Rfam family: Bacterial small subunit ribosomal RNA
Source: RNAcentral
UAGGGAAUCUUCGGCAAUGGACGGAAGUCUGACCGAGCAACGCCGCGUGAGUGAAGAAGGUUUUCGGAUCGUAAAGCUCUGUUGUAAGAGAAGAACGAGUGUAAGAGUGGAAAGUUCACACUGUGACGGUAUCUUACCAGAAAGGGACGGCUAACUACGUGCCAGCAGCCGCGGUAAUACGUAGGUCCCGAGCGUUGUCCGGAUUUAUUGGGCGUAAAGCGAGCGCAGGCGGUUAGAUAAGUCUGAAGUUAAAGGCUGUGGCUUAACCAUAGUAGGCUUUGGAAACUGUUUAACUUGAGUGCAAGAGGGGAGAGUGGAAUUCCAUGUGUAGCGGUGAAAUGCGUAGAUAUAUGGAGGAACACCGGUGGCGAAAGCGGCUCUCUGGCUUGUAACUGACGCUGAGGCUCGAAAGCGUGGGGAGCAAACAGGAUUAGAUACCCUGGUAGUCCACGCUGUAAACGAUGAGUGCUAGGUGUUAGACCCUUUCCGGGGUUUAGUGCCGUAGCUAACGCAUUAAGCACUCCGCCUGGGGAGUACGACCGCAAGGUUG